GAUGAACGCUGGCGGCGUGCCUAAUACAUGCAAGUCGAGCGAACAGACGAGGAGCUUGCCUCUUUUACGUUAGCGGCGGACGGGUGAGUAACACGUGGGUAACCUACCUAUAAGACUGGGAUACCUUCGGGAAACCGGAGCUCAUAUCGGUUCAUAUUUCGAACCGCAUGGUUCGAUAGUGAAAGAUGGCUUUGCUAUCACUUAUAGAUGGACCUACGCCGUAUUAGCUAGUUGGUAAGGUAACGGCUUACCAAGGCAACGAUACGUAGCCGACCUGAGAGGGUGAUCGGCCACACUGGAACUGAGACACGGUCCAGACUCCUACGGGAGGCAGCAGUAGGGAAUCUUCCGCAAUGGGCGAAAGCCUGACGGAGCAACGCCGCGUGAGUGAUGAAGGUCUUCGGAUCGUAAAACUCUGUUAUUAGGGAAGAACAAACGUGUAAGUAACUGUGCACGUCUUGACGGUACCUAAUCAGAAAGCCACGGCUAACUACGUG
RNAcentral lists this ribosomal RNA (497 nucleotides) under uncultured bacterium. RNAcentral's name for it is "partial 16S ribosomal RNA". It matches the Rfam family "Bacterial small subunit ribosomal RNA", at positions 28 to 507 of the family's 1533-position model. The record is from RNAcentral.